Non-coding RNA from Cucurbita pepo subsp. pepo (vegetable marrow), 527 nucleotides. The record is from RefSeq and is a predicted model, not a curated record. NCBI's taxonomy places the organism in Eukaryota, Viridiplantae, Streptophyta, Magnoliopsida, Cucurbitales, Cucurbitaceae.
AUGUUGUAUUAGUUGGAGAGUGGAAUGAAGCAACCUCUCCCUAGUAAACACGUUCUAAAACUUUGAGGAAAAGCCUUAAUAGGACACUAUCUGCCAAAGCUCAUAGAUGAAACUUCAACAGCCUCUAGAUCUAGAGGGAAGUUGUGAGCAUUACGUUCAUGCAUAACUUCAAUACCAAGGUUAGCACGGUUAAUAAUAUCACCCAGGUAUUACGUACACGACCUUGACUAUCAACUACAAAUUGGUUGAAAUUGAAACCAUUUAAGUUGAAAGUCAAUAGUGCUAAUACCUAAAGCGGUGAACCAGAUACCUACUAUAGGCCAAGCAGCUAGAAAGAAGUGUAGAGAACGAGAGUUGUUGAAACUAGCAUAUUGGAAGAUCAAUCGGCCGGGUCGGGCUUGGGCUGUUAUAGAAAAUGAAUUAGAAAAGGGUUGAGAAAGAAGAAUAAUGUUAGAUGAUAAAGGAGGAACAUUGAAGGUCAUAUCAGGUAAAGAUGGAUAUAGAUGUUGAGGAAUAUUUUGGUGAGC